GCGAGGUGGAGCUAAUCCCAGAUAACCGAUCGUAGUCCGGAUCGCAGUCUGCAACUCGACUGCGUGAAGUUGGAAUCGCUAGUAAUCGCGGAUCAGCAUGUCGCGGUGAAUACGUUCCCGGGUCUUGUACACACCGCCCGUCACACCAUGGGAGCGGGUUUUACCAGAAGUAGGUAGCUUAACCGCAAGGGGGGCGCUUACCACGGUAGGAUUCGUGACUGGGGUGAAGUCGGAACAAG
RNAcentral lists this ribosomal RNA (239 nucleotides) under Hemiselmis andersenii. RNAcentral's name for it is "partial Bacterial small subunit ribosomal RNA". It matches the Rfam family "Bacterial small subunit ribosomal RNA", at positions 1257 to 1495 of the family's 1533-position model. Lineage: Eukaryota; Cryptophyceae; Cryptomonadales; Hemiselmidaceae. The record is from RNAcentral.